This 501-nucleotide ribosomal RNA is filed under the name uncultured bacterium. RNAcentral describes it as "partial 16S ribosomal RNA". It matches the Rfam family "Bacterial small subunit ribosomal RNA", at positions 28 to 523 of the family's 1533-position model. The record is from RNAcentral.
GUUGAACGCUGGCGGCAUGCCUUACACAUGCAAGUCGAACGGCAGCACGGGUGCUUGCACCUGGUGGCGAGUGGCGAACGGGUGAGUAAUAUAUCGGAACGUACCUUAUUGUGGGGGAUAACGCAGCGAAAGCUGUGCUAAUACCGCAUAAUCCCUAAGGGGGAAAGCGGGGGACCGUAAGGCCUCGCGCAAUUAGAGCGGCCGAUACCUGAUUAGCUAGUUGGUGAGGUAAAGGCUCACUAAGGCAACGAUCAGUAGCUGGUCUGAGAGGACGAUCAGCCACACUGGGGCUGAGACACGGCCCAGACUCCUACGGGAGGCAGCAGUGGGGAAUUUUGGACAAUGGGGGCAACCCUGAUCCAGCAAUGCCGCGUGAGUGAAGAAGGCCUUCGGGUUGUAAAGCUCUUUUGUCAGGGAAGAAACAGCAGCUCUAACACAGUUUGCGAAUGACGGUACCUGAAGAAUAAGCACCGGCUAACUACGUGCCAGCCGCCGCGGUAA